This 525-nucleotide ribosomal RNA is filed under the name uncultured bacterium. RNAcentral's name for it is "bacterial SSU rRNA". It matches the Rfam family "Bacterial small subunit ribosomal RNA", at positions 355 to 896 of the family's 1533-position model. The record is from RNAcentral.
GAACGAAUAUUCCGCAAUGGGCGAAAGCCUGACGGAGCAAUGCCGCGUGUGGGAUGAAUCGGCUACGCCGUGUAAACCACUGUCAGGGUGUAGGAACACUGACCGCACCCAAAGGAAGGGCCGGCUAACCUCGUGCCAGCAGCCGCGGUAAUACGAGGGGCCCGAGCGUUACUCGGAAUCACUGGGCUUAAAGCGUACGCAGGCGGACUGGUAGGCAUUUUGUGAAAACCCACGGCUCAACCGUGGAACAGCAGAGUGAACCAUCAGUCUUGAGGCAGGUAGGGGUCGAUGGAACCAUGAGUGGAGCGGUGAAAUGCGUAGAUAUUCAUGGGAACGCCAAUGGCGAAGGCAAUCGACUGGGCCUGUCCUGACGCUCAGGUACGAAAGCGUGGGGAGCAAACAGGAUUAGAUACCCUGGUAGUCCACGCCGUAAACGAUGUGCACUAGAUCGGGGAGGCUCUCACGCCCUCCCGGUCGAAGGAAAACCGUUAAGUGCACCGCCUGGGGAGUACGGUCGCAAGGCUA